This 454-nucleotide ribosomal RNA is filed under the name uncultured Porphyromonadaceae bacterium. RNAcentral's name for it is "partial 16S ribosomal RNA". It matches the Rfam family "Bacterial small subunit ribosomal RNA", at positions 341 to 792 of the family's 1533-position model. The record is from RNAcentral. Lineage: Bacteria; Pseudomonadati; Bacteroidota; Bacteroidia; Bacteroidales; Porphyromonadaceae.
ACGGAAGGCAGCAGUGAGGAAUAUUGGUCAAUGGGCGGAAGCCUGAACCAGCCAAGUCGCGUGAAGGAUGAAGGUUCUAUGGAUUGUAAACUUCUUUUGCUCGAGGGUAAAGUGAUCUACGUGUAGGUUAUUGCAAGUAUCGAGUGAAUAAGCAUCGGCUAACUCCGUGCCAGCAGCCGCGGUAAUACGGAGGAUGCGAGCGUUAUCCGGAUUUAUUGGGUUUAAAGGGUGCGUAGGCGGGAGAUUAAGUCAGCGGUGAAAGUUUGCGGCUCAACCGUAAAAUUGCCGUUGAAACUGGUUCCCUUGAGUGUAAACGAGGUCGGCGGAAUGUAACGUGUAGCGGUGAAAUGCUUAGAUAUGUUACAGAACCCCGAUUGCGAAGGCAGCUUACCAGCAUACGACUGACGCUGAGGCACGAAAGCGUGGGUAUCAAACAGGAUUAGAUACCCUGGUA